Long non-coding RNA from Strigops habroptila (Kakapo), 606 nucleotides. RefSeq lists it as uncharacterized. The record is from RefSeq and is a predicted model, not a curated record. Lineage: Eukaryota; Metazoa; Chordata; Aves; Psittaciformes; Psittacidae. The transcript is spliced from 2 exons.
GCCGGGGCCGGGACCCGGCUGUGCGCGGGGCAGCGCCGCUGGCACGACAAGGGCGGUGCGGGGUCGGUUGGGGGGCGGUUCGCGGUUGGGGCCGGGGGCUCCCCGGCUCCCGCCGGGUGGUCCGAUGGGCCCCGCUGUCCGCCGGGACCAGGAGCGGAUCGAGGGAGCUCAGUUGCGUUUUCUCUCGUGUUUUGUGCUUCGUUUCAUCCCGCGCGUUUGACUAUCAGAUGUAACACGAUGUAAAAUUUCAUCCUCCUGGCUGUUAACGCGCUGAACAAGGCUUUACCUUCAGCUCAGAACAGGAAGGUCUGAAGUCUGCUGGCGUCAAUUUCAUCAAGAACACAGAACAUUUUCCAUUAUUUCUUUCCGUGUUUCUUCUCUGUUGGGAUAUUCUUAAGCUCCAGGAAAUUAUGCAAUCAAAAUGACUGUUUAACUCAGAAUUGUAACAACUUGGAAUUGCAACAGCCUUUGGAGUCAGCUUAUGCCUGAGUGCUGAAAUAGUUCCAUUCACUGUUAGAAUUUCUGUGUUUAAAGAAGAAAGCCUAUGAUGCAUCCCCUUAAAGCCAUGACUUAUGCUUCAGUCUUAUAAACAGAUGUGGAAAACCA